CCUACGGGGGGCAGCAGUGGGGAAUAUUGGACAAUGGGGGGAACCCUGAUCCAGCCAUGCCGCGUGUGUGAAGAAGGCCUUUUGGUUGUAAAGCACUUUAAGCGAGGAGGAGGCUUACCUGGUUAAUACCUGGGAUAAGUGGACGUUACUCGCAGAAUAAGCACCGGCUAACUCUGUGCCAGCAGCCGCGGUAAUACAGAGGGUGCAAGCGUUAAUCGGAUUUACUGGGCGUAAAGCGCGCGUAGGUGGCUAAUUAAGUCAAAUGUGAAAUCCCCGAGCUUAACUUGGGAAUUGCAUUCGAUACUGGUUAGCUAGAGUAUGGGAGAGGAUGGUAGAAUUCCAGGUGUAGCGGUGAAAUGCGUAGAGAUCUGGAGGAAUACCGAUGGCGAAGGCAGCCAUCUGGCCUAAUAC
Molecule: ribosomal RNA, 411 nt
Filed under: uncultured Alloprevotella sp.
Lineage: Bacteria; Pseudomonadati; Bacteroidota; Bacteroidia; Bacteroidales; Prevotellaceae
Description: bacterial SSU rRNA
Rfam family: Bacterial small subunit ribosomal RNA
Source: RNAcentral